Lolium perenne is the source of this 1562-nucleotide non-coding RNA. NCBI's taxonomy places the organism in Eukaryota, Viridiplantae, Streptophyta, Magnoliopsida, Poales, Poaceae. The record is from RefSeq and is a predicted model, not a curated record.
CUGCGGUUGAAAUUGUUGAUCUUAGUCGGAACCAGUUUGCAAAUGUGGAUAAUCUAUGGAAAUGUACAAAGAUGCAAAAUCUGGACCUUGGAUUAAUCAUUUGCAUUCUGUUUCAUCCCUGAGUGAGGAUUUCUGAUGAAGGGUUGUGUUAGUUGAGGAUCCUUUAUUUUGUUGUUCAGGUGUGCCUUCGAGUCCAUCAGCGACCUCUGUUCUAUGGAUUGAAGAUGGGGCUUCUACCAUCUAUGAGAAGGGCUCUAAAUGUGUCUCUACAGGCCUUCUGCCGUUCAUUUGUCCUCAUUUUUAUUCUUCCUCGGCAAUUCAGAAUUGGAGGAUCCAUUGGAAGCCAAAUUAUCACCCAAAUCAGUAUUUUUAUGGUGACCACAGUCGUUUCCUUCUGUUGGGAAAUAAGCCAUCAUUUGUUCAGCGUGUGCACACAAGAAGGUGCAGUUUUACUCCACCUCGGAACACUUGCCGAUGCAGUAUCCUGCCUUCCAAGAUUAGUGUGCAGUACCUGAAUAUAACAUAGAACCUUGACGUCAGGGUGCCUUCUUCGAGGAAUCUGGUGAAACUUACAAAAGAAUUAUGAUAGCCUGUUUGAAGCCGCUUGAGGACGCCCUCCAAAUGUUGCUGGAGCGCUCGAAGUUGUUUGGCGCCCCCACAGCUUGUCCCUUGUGGUCGACACAAAUGCAAAAGGAGAGUCAUAAAUUUGUGGUCAAGCAGCAGGAGCCACGGUGUAGGGAGGUGAUGACCUCAAGCAGCAGGAGCCACGGUGGACGUCGGGUGGUGAGGAGGAGAGGGAAGAAUAAAGAAGGGGCCAUCAGAUGGGUGCCGCCUAUUGCGUUGACGCUCUUCUCUCCCAAGGAAUUCGCCGUCACGGCUGCUUUGCUGAUGGAGUUCCUGGUGGCUGGUCCGUAUGGUUGAGAGUUCGGCUAGCAGGUAGACUCCUACAAUAAAGGCGACAACGGCCAGCUGUUGCACCUACCUUGUCGACUUCGAUGGCUUCGAUGGUCUUGCCAACAUAUUGCAAUGAUGUACAAGCCCUCCCUUUGCACGUCUUAGGAUUGGUUACUGGAUGCAUGACACACUGCGGAGAAUUAUGCAAGAGCUGGGAACAAACGUUUUAUUUUGGUAAUUGGAAUAGCAUAUUUUCUUCUAACAAUUAGCUUUCGCCCUCUCCAAUAUGCCCAUGUUAUAUGCUAGAAAAUAUGUGCUUGCUACAUGUUAAUUUUCAGUACCACCAGUGGCAUAUGUGUUUACCUUCAGUGCAUUACUGUUGUACCUGACAGUUUCAUCGGUUCGCUUUUUUCUGUCAACUUUGCAUAAAUUAACAUGAUGUAGUUAUGCAACGAAGGCCUACACAAGACAACAUUGUCCAUUAGGGACGGAUCAAACCUUACAUGACAGUCCAGCAGAGUUGUAUUAGCAAGUGGUACCUUGAUAAUGUACUACAUAUUUAUUGCUUGAUCAUUUUUUUGGUAUUCUUUUCUGGCUUGACUACUUCUGAAUUAUGAUAGACAACAAUUAUAGACCAUCCCUUGUAGUUGAUCCUUUGUGUGUAUGUC